AGGACGAACGCUGGCGGCGUGCCUAACACAUGCAAGUCGAACGAGGCUUAUCCGGUAGCAAUACUGGAGACUGCCUAGUGGCGAACGGGUGAGUAGCACGUGAGCAACCUGCCCCGAAGACUGGGAUAACACCGGGAAACCGGUGCUAAUACCAGAUGCCCCCAUCGGAUCGCAUGAUCUGGUGAGGAAAUGGAUUCCGCUUCGGGAGGGGCUCGCGGCCUAUCAGCUAGUUGGUGAGGUAACGGCUCACCAAGGCUUCGACGGGUAGCUGGUCUGAGAGGACGAUCAGCCACACUGGGACUGAGACACGGCCCAGACUCCUACGGGAGGCAGCAGUGGGGAAUCUUGCACAAUGGGCGAAAAGCCUGAUGCAGCAACGCCGCGUGAGGGACGAAGGCUUUCUGAGUUGUAAACCUCUUUCAGCAGGGACGAUUGUGACGGUACCUGCAGAAGAAGCCCCGGCAACUACGUGCCAGCAGCCGA
Molecule: ribosomal RNA, 483 nt
Filed under: uncultured bacterium
Lineage: Bacteria
Description: SSU rRNA
Rfam family: Bacterial small subunit ribosomal RNA
Source: RNAcentral